Molecule: ribosomal RNA, 253 nt
Filed under: uncultured bacterium
Lineage: Bacteria
Description: partial 16S ribosomal RNA
Rfam family: Bacterial small subunit ribosomal RNA
Source: RNAcentral
UACAGAGGGUGCGAGCGUUGUCCGGAAUCACUGGGCGUAAAGGGCGCGUAGGCGGCCUGAUAAGUCGGGGGUGAAAUCCUGUGGCUUAACCACAGGGCUGCCUCCGAGACUGUCGGGCUCGAGCACAGUAGAGGCAGGUGGAAUUCCCGGUGUAGCGGUGGAAUGCGUAGAUAUCAGGAGGAACACCAAUUGCGAAGGCAGCUCGCUGGGACGUUACUGACGCUGAGACGCGAAAGCGUGGGGAGCAAACAGG